AGGAAAAUCUGAUUAGAACUGAAACUAGAAGUCUUACAAUUGUUUUAAAUGUGUGGUGUAAAUGCAAAUGACAGUUUUCAAUGUUUUCACAUUUUGGCUGCAGAACUGAUUUGUAUAAAACCUUUGUUUGAUGGAAAUGGGGAAUAUAUCAAAGAGACAACAACCAAACCAAAGAGCCAAAGGCCACAAACAGUUCUUCAAUGUAGAGAGAAAAUCCUGCACCCGGAUGUGGAUCUCAGCUGGCCCCUACAUAAGAGUCUGUCAAAGAUUACCUUAGUCAUAUUUGAAGCACCUUUUUGGAAUUUAGUGACCUCAAAGCUUUAACUCUAUACUUGUUUGAAUUUAUUACUAUUUUAAUCUUAGCGUCAUGGAUGAGUCUUAUGUAGACGAAACGCUCGUCUGGCGUAUUAAAUUAUAAGCCUGG
Molecule: long non-coding RNA, 424 nt
Filed under: Mytilus galloprovincialis (Mediterranean mussel)
Lineage: Eukaryota; Metazoa; Mollusca; Bivalvia; Mytilida; Mytilidae
Source: RNAcentral